RNA transcript from Hibiscus syriacus, 996 nucleotides. It is a transcript of the gene named transportin-1-like, with no coding region annotated. The record is from RefSeq and is a predicted model, not a curated record. The transcript is spliced from 5 exons. NCBI's taxonomy places the organism in Eukaryota, Viridiplantae, Streptophyta, Magnoliopsida, Malvales, Malvaceae.
CCCAUAUUUGUUCGCCAAGUCGAAACCGGAUAAUAAAAUUUAUUUGAAUCAGAAUCUGAUUACAGAAAUGGCGGCGACCGGAAGUGCCCGUGGCAGCCACAAAAGGAGGGGUUGAAGGAGAUCUGUGGACUGCUGGAACAGAAAAUUUCACCAUCUUCUUCGGCUGAUAAGUCUCAGAUUUGGCAACAACUUCAGCACUACUCUCAGUUCCCUGAUUUCAACAACUAUCUCGUUUUUAUCCUAGCACGAGCUGAGGGUAAAUCAGAAGAGAUUCGACAAGUUGCUGGUUUGCUUCUGAAAAAUCAUCUAAGAACUGCUUAUAAGAUAAUGGCUCCUGCAUACCAACAAUAUAUAAAAUCAGAGUUAUUGCCCUGUUUAGGAGCUGCAAAUAAACACAUGGAAGGUUAUUCAACUAGGGGGGAUUGUGGUUGUUCAACUAGGGGGGAUUGUGGGAUGGCCUGAGUUAUUGCAAGCUUUUGUAAAUUGUUUGGAUAGCAAUGACAUAAAGCACAUGGAAGGUGCUAUGGAUGCAUUGUCAAAGGUAUGCGAUGAAUUUGUGAGGAUAUACCUCAAGUGCUGGAUUCAGAUGUGCCUGGGUUAGCUGAAAGGCCUAUCAACAUAUUCCUUACUCGGUUAUUUCAGUUUUUUCAAUCUCCCCAUGCUUCUCCGAGAAAGCUGUCAUUGGGUUCUGUAAACCAAUAUAUCAUGUUGAUGACUUCUGCUUUAUAUACAUCCAUGGAUAAAUACCUUAAUGGUUUGUUUGGCCUUGCUAAUGACCCUGCAGCAGAAGUGCAGAAAUUGGUGAAUAGUUUCUCCUUUCUCUUGUAUUCUUAUUGUAUUUAUAACCUAAUAUUUUGCAUGGAAUACUCUACUGUGAAUAUUUCCUAAUUUUCCUUAUAAUUUAUUAUUGAAGCCUAUAAAAGCUUGACAUGUACUACUUAUCAUUUCUGAUUUGAACAUUUAUUUUGAAUGCAGUGUUAGAAUCCAACAUAUUUU